Molecule: ribosomal RNA, 328 nt
Filed under: uncultured eukaryote
Lineage: Eukaryota
Description: partial 18S ribosomal RNA
Rfam family: Eukaryotic small subunit ribosomal RNA
Source: RNAcentral
CCCUUAGAUGUCCUGGGCCGCACGCGCGUUACACUGAUGCAUUCAACGAGCUUAUAACCUUGGCCGAGAGGCCUGGGCAAUCUUGUUAACGUGCAUCGUGAAAGGGAUAGAUUAUUGAAAUUAUUAAUCUUGAACGAGGAAUUCCUAGUAAACGCAGAUCAUCAAUCUGCAUUGAUUACGUCCCUGCCCUUUGUACACACCGCCCGUCGCACCUACCGAUUGGAUGGUCCGGUGAAGCCUCGGGAUUGUGGUUCUUGCCGCUUUAUUGUGGCGUGACCGCGAGAACUUGUCUAAACCUUAUCAUCUAGAGGAAGGUGAAGUCGUAACA